This 460-nucleotide ribosomal RNA is filed under the name uncultured bacterium. Its description in RNAcentral is "partial 16S ribosomal RNA". It matches the Rfam family "Bacterial small subunit ribosomal RNA", at positions 338 to 795 of the family's 1533-position model. The record is from RNAcentral.
CCUACGGGUGGCAGCAGUGAGGAAUAUUGGUCAAUGGGCGGAAGCCUGAACCAGCCAAGUCGCGUGAGGGAAUAAGGCCCUACGGGUCGUAAACCUCUUUUGCCGGGGAGCAAGGGCGGGGACGUGUCCCGGCCAGGCGAGUACCCGGAGAAAAAGCAUCGGCUAAAUCCGUGCCAGCAGCCGCGGUAAUACGGAGGAUGCGAGCGUUAUCCGGAUGUAUUGGGUUUAAAGGGUGCGUAGGCGGGCUUUUAAGUCAGAGGGAAAAAUUCGGGGCUCAACCCCGUACGGCCGUUGAAACUGGGGGCCUUGAGUGGGCGAGAAGAAGGCGGAAUGCGUGGUGUAGCGGUGACAUGCAUAGAUAUCACGCAGAACCCCGAUUGCGAAGGCAGCCUUCCGGCGCCCUACUGACGCUGAGGCACGAAAGUGCGGGGAUCGAACAGGAUUAGAUACCCUGGUAGUC